UGGGGAAUAUUGCACAAUGGGCGAAAGCCUGAUGCAGCAACGCCGCGUGAGUGAUGAAGGCCUUCGGGUUGUAAAGCUCUGCCUUUUGGGACGUAUAAGUGACGGUACCAAAGGAGGAAGCCACGGCUAACUACGUGCCAGCAGCCGCGGUAAUACGUAGGUGGCAAGCGUUGUCCGGAUUUACUGGGCGUAAAGGAUGCGUAGGCGGAUUUUUAAGUGAGAUGUGAAAUACCCGGGCUUAACUUGGGUGCUGCAUUUCAAACUGGGAAUCUAGAGUGCGGGAGAGGAGAAUGGAAUUCCUAGUGUAGCGGUGAAAAUGCGUAGAGAUUAGGAAGAACACCAGUGGCGAAAGGCGAUUCUCUGGACCGUAACUGACGCUGAGGCAUGAAAGCGUGGGUAGCAAACAGGAUUAGAUACCCUGGUAGUCCACGCCCGUAAACGAUGAGUACUAGGUGUAGGAGGUAUCGACCCCUUCUGUGCCGCAGUUAACACAAUCAAGUACUCCGCCUGGGGAAGUACGAUCGCAAGAUUAAAACUCAAAGGAAUUGACGGGGUCAUAGC
Molecule: ribosomal RNA, 561 nt
Filed under: uncultured bacterium
Lineage: Bacteria
Description: partial 16S ribosomal RNA
Rfam family: Bacterial small subunit ribosomal RNA
Source: RNAcentral